Molecule: ribosomal RNA, 253 nt
Filed under: uncultured bacterium
Lineage: Bacteria
Description: partial 16S ribosomal RNA
Rfam family: Bacterial small subunit ribosomal RNA
Source: RNAcentral
UACGUAGGGUGCAAGCGUUGUCCGGAAUUAUUGGGCGUAAAGGGCUCGUAGGCGGUUUGUCGCGUCGGGAGUGAAAACACACAGCUUAACUGUGUGCUUGCUUCCGAUACGGGCAGACUAGAGGUAUGCAGGGGAGAACGGAAUUCCUGGUGUAGCGGUGAAAUGCGCAGAUAUCAGGAAGAACACCGGUGGCGAAGGCGGCUCUCUGGGCCUUACCUGACGCUGAGGAGCGAAAGCGUGGGUAGCGAACAGG